AUGACCCUGGGAUCUUCUUAGAAACGCAGACUCUGAUUCAGUAGGUUUGGGACACAGACUGUGAUUCUGCAUUUCUAACAAGCCCCCAGGUGAUGCUAA
This 99-nucleotide microRNA precursor is filed under the name Loxodonta africana (African savanna elephant). Its description in RNAcentral is "mir-544 microRNA precursor family". It matches the Rfam family "mir-544 microRNA precursor family". The record is from Rfam by way of RNAcentral. Lineage: Eukaryota; Metazoa; Chordata; Mammalia; Proboscidea; Elephantidae.